UUUUUUUAUAUUUUUGUGUAAUUUGUUUUUUUUUAAUUCAUUUUAAUGUACCCCUCCGUGGGUCGCCACCUUAACGUGGUGGAGGGGUUUGAGUGCCCCAGUGAUCCUAGGAGCUAUGUUGUCGGGGGCAUUUGUCCCUGGUAGGGUCUACCAUGGCAAACAGAUCCUAGGUGAGUGAGGGGACAGACGAAGUGCAGCCAGUGACAACUGAUGGAGAAAUCAAAAUAUUAAACAUUGUUAAAAUAGCUAAUAAAGGUGUUUCAAUAUUGUAACUGUAUUACUGCAAUCAGUGUUACCAUCAUGAAGCAAUGCGGGAACACUCAUCUUGGAUUAAGGGGCCAAAUGUGCACAAUUUUCUUUGAUAUGCUUUCCGUGGUGAUUGUAACAUGUUUUGGUUUUAGUUUGUAAUUUUUUGAAGUUGGUUUCUUUUUGUGGAGUCUCUUUCAUCCUCAGAGAUUGGGCGGCUCCUUUCUGCAACUUCACACCUGCACCUUAUCACUGUAAUCACCAUAGGCAUUUAAGCCCUGCUGUGAGGCUUCUCCAGUGCCAGAUUAUUCCCGCAUCAGAUAGUACCUCCACGAGCCCCAGUGCUACUGCCCAAUCUCUGCCACGCUGCCAUACUCUCUCCCCAGACCUCUCACCAGCCUCCUCCUCAAGCUCUCACUUCUCCAGCCUUAACCCCACCUCUGAUUUCCCUCCUCACACCUUGGACCCUGGAUCCCUUCCCUCCUUGUUUCCUUCAAUAAAUUCACUGAACUGCU
Molecule: long non-coding RNA, 761 nt
Organism: Notolabrus celidotus (New Zealand spotty)
Lineage: Eukaryota; Metazoa; Chordata; Actinopteri; Labriformes; Labridae
Exons: 2
Source: RefSeq, a predicted model, not a curated record